RNAcentral lists this long non-coding RNA (4160 nucleotides) under Sus scrofa (pig). RNAcentral describes it as "lncRNA (ENSSSCG00005046080.1)". The record is from RNAcentral. Lineage: Eukaryota; Metazoa; Chordata; Mammalia; Artiodactyla; Suidae.
CAUUUUUCUUGGGGCUUAUUAGGAGCCAGAGGCCCCUGCUCUUCCAGCAGCAACACUAGCCCAUCACCCCUCCCCUGCCUGCAUAAGAUGAGGCUUGGAUCUGGAGUAAUGGCAUUUCGAGUUGCUCACAUCUGUCUAAUACUCAUUCUUAAGUCUACAUGACUGCAAGAGCCUGUUAGAGCUGCAUCCCAGCUCCUGCUAGGACUACACCUCAUGUAGCUCCUGCCCCCUCCUCCCCAUUCCCCGUUCCUCUGCCCAGAUGAGCCAGAUUUUCCAUUUGGAUCUUAGGCCUCCCUGUUCUCUAGACAAAUAACACUUUGCUACCUCACUGGCCUUGCUGUCCUGUCUCCUGCCCAAAAUGCGCUCUGUCCCAGUACCUGACCUUCUGAGGGUAAUUCCAACAACUCUUUCAGGCCCAGAUCAAAAACCACUUCCUUCACAAGUUCCCCAGUGGGACAAAAUCUCUCCAUCUUUGGGCUUUUCUAGAAUUUCAUUUUCACUUUCUUGACACUAUGAAAUAACCACAUUUUUUGGCAAGACAAGAAAAAUUUAAACAGGAAUUUUUUUUCUCUGCCCUUUAUCCUCCUCUCUCCCCCCUACUAUGCACUGUGUAUCUGCAUUAUGCAUCAACCAAACCUCUGCCAUAGGCAGAAAUGCCUGCUCAACCUUAAAGAGCAACAUUCUGCUAGCACCAACAAGACAGCUUAGAAGAUAACAUUUCUUCCAGAUCUUAUAAGGGGCUUAGAUCUGGGUUGUGUAACUCUCAUUUAAUGUAUAGCCCACUGUCUCCAAAAAACAUAUCCAGGAGUUUCUGCUGUGGAUCAUCAGGUUAAGAACCUAACAUGGUGUCUGUGAGGAUGUGGGUUUGAUCCCUGACCUCACCCAGUUGGUUAAGGAUCCCACAUUGCUGUUGUUGUGGCAUAGGCAUGCAGCUGCAGCUCUAACUCAGUCCAUAGCCUGGGCGCCUCCAUAUGCCACAGGUGCAGCUCUAAAAAGAAAAAUGAAAUUAAAAAAACCUUAGCCAACUGCACCAUGAUUCCUAAAGGAUGAAACCGUUUUCAAAGCUUUCUGAGAUGUUGUUCCUAGGUUAUAAUCCUCAUAUUUAUCCCGAAUAAAAUUUUCCAUUUCUUCCUUAAAUCAACUGAUAAAUUUUUCAUCAACACAACAUUUACAUAUUCUGCUCUAGGUUAUAGAAAUUUGUUUGUCUUUGCUCUACUACCAGAUAACAAGGAACUGGAAUAUAAUUUGUUUCUUUUUUUUUUUUUUUUUUUUUUUUUUUUUUUUUUUUUUUUUUUGCUGCUUUACAGAAAUCAGAAAGAAUAUGGGCCACUGAGGUUUGUUUUUUUUUGUUUUUUUUUUCCCUUGAUUUUUGUCUGUCUUUGAGUUUGCCUAAGGGGACAAAGAAGUGACUUUGGGACAAUCUUUCCUGGCCUCCCCCCGCCCCCAAGCUUAAACUGGAGAAAUUAUGGCAAGUGUUCAGGAGUUGUGUAGGUUGGGGAUUGUGAAUGACAGCUGAAUGGAAAAGGAAGUAUCUUUUAGAAGGACUUGUGCCCUCUUCCGUGGAAGUAUUUUGAAAAGAGUUCACUUAUGCUGCACCCAGAAGGGCUGGACUCUGAGAACCGGUGCCUCCAGCCUUGGCACAGAGCAGGAUAUUUCCAGGGACCAUACAGAUUUAAGCAAUAAGCCUAUCAGUGACCUCAAAGAUAAACUGAAACCUAGAAUAUUUACUUUUUCAGCAUCACAUAAGUUUCUUGAAUUCUUGUGCAGUUCUGAGUCAGGGAAGGAAUUGCUUCCAAUAAAAACCUAAAAGUGAAUUCCCACCAGCCUGGCAGAAUACUGGCCAAGAGUUGGAAUUAAUUUGAUUCACAGAAAAAUAAAGUAAUACAGCUUCCAGAGUUGAAUAAGAGGCUGGCUGCUGUGAACUGAAUGCCCAGUCAAAAGGUAUUUUUUUUUUUUUUUCAAGCCAGGUUCAGAUUCAUUGACUUGCAGUCAACUGGACCAUGGGGCAAGAAUCUGCUGUGAACACCUGGGUUUCUAAGGCAGAAAAGGUCCAAAUCAUGAGCAAAAGGGCACAAGUAGUGUAAGAAUAAUAGACAGUAUCAUCUGUCUUGAUGAGCCUCUUCAGACUCUGCAGCUAAUAGAUGCACUUAGUUUUGCCUCCUUCUGAAGAUGUGCAUUUCGCUGUUAUGGCAGGUUAUACAACAAUCUUUCUUGGUCUCUGGCAGACAACAGGAACUUAUCAGAGGUUCAAAAUACAUGUUGUCAUCAACAAAUACAGUAGUUAACUAUCACCAUGCAGUAGUGAGUACCCACGCAUGUGUUAAUCACGGAAAGCCUUCAAUUCUUUGUCAGAUAGAAGACAAAUAUGUGUUAUGGGAUAACCUGAUAUUUUUAGAAACGUUGAGGACAAUAGAAAAUUGGGGGGAAAGGUGAUUUAAAAGUUGUUAGAACUUUCUGACUUACUUUUGCUCAAGACUGAUUUUUGUUCUUGGCAAGUAUCUUUGGACAGUCUUUCCAUAACAUAAAUACGAUAAAAAAAAAAAAGUAAAUCAAGAAGCUCCCACAUUUUUGUUUUGAGAAAACUGUGACGUAUUCAUGUAUCUCUAUUCAGGUAUUAUGAUAAAUAAGCUAAAUGCUCUGGGUGUCAUACGAUUUAGGUUUACGUCUUUUUAGUCGUUAUUGUUACUUUGGAGUAAAGGGAUCUUUUGUCUGUGUAGACGGUGUGUAUGGUGAAGCUGGAGUCCACAGGAGACUAGAGGAGAGACAUGGUCAUGGUCAUGGUCAUGGCCACCUCGCUCUGCAGGAGAUGCUGGAAGGAACCGGACUGGCUGGGGAGCCAUCCGGCCGUUAUUACGGAACAUGCCAGACUUUGGCAAGUCUCUCUUUCUGUCAGCAUGACCACUCUUGGAACCCAGCCGCUGUGCUUCCAGAAAGCCCAAACCAGCUCAUGCAGAAAGAUCACAUGGAGAGACACAUGAGAACAGAGAUCGAGGUCUUCAGCCAACAGCCAGCAUUAACUGCCAGCCAUGUGAGUAAAUGAGCUUUCAGAGAAUCCCAGAUAACAGAGAGCAAAGAAAAUCAUCCCCUCUGUGCCCUGUUUGAAUUCAUAAUUACAAUUAUGCUCAAAAUUAUAAGCAUAACAAAUGGUUGCUUUACAUCAUUAUAUUUUGGGGUCAUUUGUUACCCAGCCUUUUAAAAUUUUUUAUUUCUUUGUCUGUUUUGAGCCAUGCCUGUGGCAUAUGCAAGUUCCCAGGCUAGGGGUCGAAUUGGAGCUACAGCUGCCAGCCUACACCACAGCCACAGCAACACAGGAUCCGAACUGUGUCUGUGACCUACACCACGGCUCACAGCAAUGCUGGAUCCUUAUCCCACUGAGCAAGGCCAUGGAUUGAACCCUCGUCCUCAUGGAUACUAGUCGGGUUUGUUACUGCUGGGCCGUGACCGGAACUCCCACCCAGUCUUAAUCAUUGGGAUGUGCUGGGAGAUGAGAUACAGAGAGUAACCAAAUCCAUGUUCACUGUCUUCAUGGAAUGUAUACACCCAUAUUUCUGAGAUUCCUUUCGUAGCUUCACACACUGAGAGGAUCAGGGGGCCUGAGUUUGGAACAAGUUGAGAGAGACUCUCCUGAGUCAGACAUAUAGAACUGAAAAUACCAGCUCUGAUGCUGAUAAUGUUGGUUGGGGCCUGUGGCUUUAGGACUGUAGCCACGUGCGUUUGCUAAUAUCUCUCUCACUCCUUGAUCAGAUUUAGUCACUUAUCUAGGUGCUGGCCCAGCUGGAAAACGUCAGGCCUUCUCCCCAACCCCUUUCCCUUCAUACACCUUUUCCAAGAAUAGCACCCUUGAGCAGGGAACAGUCUGCAGGACUGAGGAAGGGGGCUAAGUGCGCAUGCUCAGCUCUUCUCCCACACUCUAUGUAGUCAGAUGAGUCCCUCCUCCUCCCUACAGAGUCGGGGUGGGGAAAGGCACACACAGUGUUAGUGCAGCUGGGCAACUUCCAUGUGGAAAUGUGAAUGUCAUACAUCUCACUAUAUUAUUAUUAAAGUUUUAUUGGUUCUUUAAUGAUUUCCACUUUAGCAUUGCCCGAAGCAAAAAUUCUCAUGGAAUCAGGGAUUUGAUUUGCCAAUGAUACAUUUUUCUGACAUAAUUAAAAUCAACUUUU